RNAcentral lists this ribosomal RNA (465 nucleotides) under uncultured bacterium. Its description in RNAcentral is "partial 16S ribosomal RNA". It matches the Rfam family "Bacterial small subunit ribosomal RNA", at positions 28 to 507 of the family's 1533-position model. The record is from RNAcentral.
GACGAACGCUGGCGGCGUGCUUAACACAUGCAAGUCGAACGGAAAGGCCCUGCUUGCAGGGUACUCGAGUGGCGAACGGGUGAGUAACACGUGGGUGAUCUGCCCUGCACUUCGGGAUAAGCCUGGGAAACUGGGUCUAAUACCGGAUAGGAGCCAUCUUUAGUGUGAUGGUUGGAAAGUUUUUUCGGUGUAGGAUGAGCUCGCGGCCUAUCAGCUUGUUGGUGGGGUAAUGGCCUACCAAGGCGGCGACGGGUAGCCGGCCUGGGAGGGUGGACGGCCACAUUGGGACUGAGAUACGGCCCAGACUCCUACGGGAGGGAGCAGUGGGGAAUAUUGCACAAUGGGCGCAAGCCUGAUGCAGCGACGCCGCGGGGGGGAUGACGGCCUUCGGGUUGUAAACUCCUUUCGCUAGGGACGAAGCUGUUUGUGACGGUACCUAGAUAAGAAGCACCGGCUAACUACGUG